This 497-nucleotide ribosomal RNA is filed under the name uncultured bacterium. RNAcentral describes it as "partial 16S ribosomal RNA". It matches the Rfam family "Bacterial small subunit ribosomal RNA", at positions 28 to 507 of the family's 1533-position model. The record is from RNAcentral.
GAUGAACGCUGGCGGCGUGCCUAAUACAUGCAAGUCGAGCGAACGGACGAGAAGCUUGCUUCUCUGAUGUUAGCGGCGGACGGGUGAGUAACACGUGGAUAACCUACCUAUAAGACUGGGAUAACUUCGGGAAACCGGAGCUAAUACCGGAUGAUAUUUUGAACCGCAUGGUUCAAAAGUGAAAGACGUUCUUGCUGUCACUUAUAGAUGGAUCCGCGCUGCAUUAGCUAGUUGGUAAGGUAACGGCUUACCAAGGCAACGAUGCAUAGCCGACCUGAGAGGGUGAUCAGCCACACUGGAACUGAGACACGGUCCAGACUCCUACGGGAGGCAGCAGUAGGGAAUCUUGCGCAAAGGGCGAAAGCCUGACGGAGCAACGCCGCGUGAGUGAUGAAGGUCUUCGGAUCGUAAAACUCUGUUAUUAGGGAAGAACAUAUGUGUAAGUAACUGUGCACAUCUUGACGGUACCUAAUCAGAAAGCCACGGCUAACUACGUG